UACGGGGGGGGCAAGCGUUGUUCGGAAUUAUUGGGCGUAAAGGGCGCGUAGGCGGUGUGGCAAGUCAGGUGUGAAACCUCCAGGCUCAACUUGGAGCUUGCAUCUGAAACUGCCGUGCUAGAGUGUGGGAGAGGAGAGUGGAAUUCCUGGUGUAGCGGUGAAAUGCGUAGAUAUCAGGAGGAACACCGGUGGCGAAAGGCGGCUCUCUGGACCACAACUGACGCUGAGGCGCGAAAGCUAGGGGAGCAAACAGG
Molecule: ribosomal RNA, 254 nt
Filed under: uncultured bacterium
Lineage: Bacteria
Description: partial 16S ribosomal RNA
Rfam family: Bacterial small subunit ribosomal RNA
Source: RNAcentral